UUUGUCCUACGGUGUUCAGCGGUCAGUAAACGCACCACAGUGCGGGACGUUUUUUCGGUUGAACAAUUCAUAGAUCUCUGAGCGUUAUUGCGCCUCAUACAUCAUAUCACCAGGUUGAUACUGUGCGUGAAUGCAUGAAGGGUCGGGUCGCAGGGGCAGUGCCCCAAGGAGGGAUACCAGCAACUUCCCGGCGGAUCCCGAGGUGUUCCCAGGCCAGUUGGGAGACAUAGUCUCUCCAACGUGUCCUGAGUCUUCCCCGAGUCCUUCUACCGGUUAGACGUGCCGUAUAAACAACUAACCAGAUGCCCAAGCCACCUCAUCUGGAGGAGUAGCGGUUCUACUCCGAGUCUGUCCCGGAUGACAGUCCUUAUCUGUGUCUUGAGCCCUGAGCGACAGGUACGGGCGUGAGCACUAACAAGCCCAGCCAGUUAAGGAGGGGACGACGUGUGGGGUGGAGCACUCGUACUUGUUUGUACAACCGUGACGAAUAAAGGUUGCUUGGUAUUUCUUUGUUUCUUUUUUUGUGUUUUUGUUCUGAGAGAUGAGCAAGCAAAUUAGCUGUCUGACUUACAUGUACUGUAAGCGAGGUGAUAAAGGGGGGGAAAAAAAGGAUGACAUGGCAACCGGGGGCCGAGGUGCAACCGGUGCAUAGCGACAUGUCCUGCGGGAACCAGAGCAGAUCUCAUGAUUAAGAAAGCAGGAAGAUGCACCAACAUACAGUACAUUGGUGACACAGACAGAUACUUAACACAAGCUUAAAUAAGCAUACGUUUCCAUAAUA
This is a non-coding RNA of Doryrhamphus excisus (bluestripe pipefish), 781 nucleotides long. The record is from RefSeq and is a predicted model, not a curated record. NCBI's taxonomy places the organism in Eukaryota, Metazoa, Chordata, Actinopteri, Syngnathiformes, Syngnathidae.